Molecule: small nuclear RNA, 107 nt
Filed under: Dasypus novemcinctus (nine-banded armadillo)
Lineage: Eukaryota; Metazoa; Chordata; Mammalia; Cingulata; Dasypodidae
Source: RNAcentral
UUGCUUGCUUAGGCAGCACACUUACUAAAACUGGAAUGAAAUGAAGAAGAUUUGCAUGGCCCUUGCACAAGGAUGAUGUGCAAAUUUGUGAAAUGUUCCAUAUUUUU